AUUGAACGCUGGCGGCAGGCCUAACACAUGCAAGUCGAGCGAGCGGCGGACGGGUGAGUAAUGUAUGGGGAACUGCCCGAUAGAGGGGGAUAACUACUGGAAACGGUGGCUAAUACCGCAUACUAUCGGAUGAACCCAUAUGGGAUUAGCUAGUAGGUGGGGUAAAGGCUCACAUAGGCGACGAUCUCGAGCUGGUCUGAGAGGAUGUUAAGCCAGACUGACAGUGAAUCACGGCACGUACUCCGACGGGAGGCAGCAGGGGGGAAUAUGGCACAAGGGGUGCAAGCCUGAUGCAGCCAUGCCGAGUGUAUGAAGAUGGCCUUAGGGUUAUAAAGUACUUUCAGAGUGGAGUCGUUACCCGCAGAAGAAGCACCGGCUAACUCCGUGCCAGCAGCCGCGGUAAUUC
This 406-nucleotide ribosomal RNA is filed under the name uncultured bacterium. RNAcentral describes it as "partial 16S ribosomal RNA". It matches the Rfam family "Bacterial small subunit ribosomal RNA", at positions 30 to 526 of the family's 1533-position model. The record is from RNAcentral.